UAACACGUGGGGAACCUGCCCAUAAGAGGGGGAUAACAUCCGGAAACGGGUGCUAAUACCGCAUAGGUGAUCAUAGCGCAUGCUUAGAUCAUUAAAGAUGGCUUCGGCUAUCGCUUAUGGAUGGCCCCGCGGCGUAUUAGCUAGUUGGUGAGGUAAUGGCUCACCAAGGCUGUGAUACGUAGCCGACCUGAGAGGGUGAUCGGCCACACUGGAACUGAGACACGGUCCAGACUCCUACGGGAGGCAGCAGUAGGGAAUCUUCCACAAUGGGCGAAAGCCUGAUGGAGCAAUACCGCGUGAGUGAAGAAGGUCUUCGGAUCGUAAAGCUCUGUUGUUAGAGAAGAACAAGAGGUGUAGUAACUGGCACCUCCUUGACGGUAUCUAACCAGAAAGUCACGGCUAACUACGUGCCAGCAGCCGCGGUAAUACGUAGGUGACAAGCGUUGUCCGGAUUUAUUGGGCGUAAAGCGAGCGCAGGCGGUCUUUUAAGUCUGAUGUGAAAGCCCACGGCUCAACCGUGGAGGGUCAUUGGAAACUGGAAGACUUGAAUGCAGAAGAGGAAAGUGGAAUUCCAUGUGUAGCGGUGAAAUGCGUAGAUAUAUGGAGGAACACCAGUGGCGAAGGCGACUUUCUGGUCUGUAAUUGACGCUGAGGCUCGAAAGCGUGGGGAGCGAACAGGAUUAGAUACCCUGGUAGUCCACGCCGUAAACGAUGAGUGCUAAGUGUUGGAGGGG
This 734-nucleotide ribosomal RNA is filed under the name uncultured Alkalibacterium sp. RNAcentral's name for it is "bacterial SSU rRNA". It matches the Rfam family "Bacterial small subunit ribosomal RNA", at positions 111 to 831 of the family's 1533-position model. The record is from RNAcentral. Lineage: Bacteria; Bacillati; Bacillota; Bacilli; Lactobacillales; Carnobacteriaceae.